Non-coding RNA from Gonium pectorale, 46 nucleotides. The record is from Rfam. Lineage: Eukaryota; Viridiplantae; Chlorophyta; Chlorophyceae; Chlamydomonadales; Volvocaceae.
AACCCGGUGUUUUUCAACACCACUAUCUAAUUGAACCACAUAUAGG